GACGAACGCUGGCGGCGUGCUUAACACAUGCAAGUCGAACGGAAAGGCCCUGCUUUUGUGGGGUGCUCGAGUGGCGAACGGGUGAGUAACACGUGAGUAACCUGCCCUUGACUUUGGGAUAACUUCAGGAAACUGGGGCUAAUACCGGAUAGGAGCUCCUGCUGCAUGGUGGGGGUUGGAAAGUUUCGGCGGUUGGGGAGGGACUGGCGGCUUAUCAGAUUGUUGGUGGGGUAGUGGCUUACCAAGGCUUUGACGGGUAGCCGGCCUGAGAGGGUGAGCGGCCACAUUGGGCCUGAGAUACGGCCCAGACUCCUACGGGAGGCAGCAGUGGGGAAUAUUGCACAAUGGGCGGAAGCCUGAUGCAGCAACGCCGCGUGCGGGAUGACGGCCUUCGGGUUGUAAACCGCUUUCGCCUGUGACGAAGCGUGAGUGACGGUAAUGGGUAAAGAAGCACCGGCUAACUACGUG
RNAcentral lists this ribosomal RNA (468 nucleotides) under uncultured bacterium. Its description in RNAcentral is "partial 16S ribosomal RNA". It matches the Rfam family "Bacterial small subunit ribosomal RNA", at positions 28 to 507 of the family's 1533-position model. The record is from RNAcentral.